RNAcentral lists this ribosomal RNA (750 nucleotides) under uncultured bacterium. RNAcentral describes it as "bacterial SSU rRNA". It matches the Rfam family "Bacterial small subunit ribosomal RNA", at positions 8 to 796 of the family's 1533-position model. The record is from RNAcentral.
AGAGUUUGAUCAUGGCUCAGAACGAACGCUGGCGGCAUGCCUAAUACAUGCAAGUCGAACGCGCCUAGCGAUAGGCGAGUGGCGGACGGGUGAGUAACGCGUGGGAACCUGCCCUUGAGUGCGGGAUAACCGAGGGAAACUUCGGCUAAUACCGCAUGCGCCCCGGGCAACUGGGGGAAAGAUUUAUCGCUCGAGGAGGGGCCCGCGUCGGAUUAGCUAGUUGGUGGGGUAAUGGCCUACCAAGGCGAUGAUCCGUAGCUGGUCUGAGAGGAUGAUCAGCCACACUGGGACUGAGACACGGCCCAGACUCCUACGGGAGGCAGCAGUAGGGAAUAUUGGACAAUGGGGGCAACCCUGAUCCAGCAAUGCCGCGUGAGUGAUGAAGGCCUUAGGGUUGUAAAGCUCUUUCGCACGCGACGAUGAUGACGGUAGCGUGAGAAGAAGCCCCGGCUAACUUCGUGCCAGCAGCCGCGGUAAUACGAAGGGGGCGAGCGUUGUUCGGAAUUACUGGGCGUAAAGGGCGCGCAGGCGGCCGAUCAAGUCAGGCGUGAAAGCCCCGGGCUUAACCUGGGAAUUGCGCUUGGGACUGAUGGGCUUGAGUUCGGGAGAGGAGAGUGGAAUUCCCAGUGUAGAGGUGAAAUUCGUAGAUAUUGGGAAGAACACCGGUGGCGAAGGCGGCUCUCUGGACCGAUACUGACGCUGAGGCGCGAAAGCGUGGGGAGCAAACAGGAUUAGAUACCCUAGUAGUCC